UACAGAGGUCUCAAGCGUUGUUCGGAAUCACUGGGCGUAAAGGGUGCGUAGGUGGCGUGGUAAGUCAGAUGUGAAAGCCCGGGGCUCAACCUCGGAAUUGCAUCCGAUACUGCCAUGCUCGAGUACUGAAGAGGUGACUAGAAUUCUAGGUGUAGCAGUGAAAUGCGUAGAUAUCUAGAGGAAUACCAAAGGCGAAGGCAGGUCACUGGGCAGUUACUGACACUGAGGCACGAAGGCCAGGGGAGCGAACGGG
Molecule: non-coding RNA, 253 nt
Filed under: uncultured bacterium
Lineage: Bacteria
Also listed under: 1 other name
Description: partial 16S ribosomal RNA
Rfam family: Bacterial small subunit ribosomal RNA
Source: RNAcentral